AGUGAACGCUGGCGGUAGGCCUAACACAUGCAAGUCGAACGGCAGCACAGUAAGAGCUUGCUCUUACGGGUGGCGAGUGGCGGACGGGUGAGGAAUACAUCGGAAUCUACUUUUUCGUGGGGGAUAACGUAGGGAAACUUACGCUAAUACCGCAUACGACCUACGGGUGAAAGCAGGGGAUCUUCGGACCUUGCGCGAUUGAAUGAGCCGAUGUCGGAUUAGCUAGUUGGCGGGGUAAAGGCCCACCAAGGCGACGAUCCGUAGCUGGUCUGAGAGGAUGAUCAGCCACACUGGAACUGAGACACGGUCCAGACUCCUACGGGAGGCAGCAGUGGGGAUUAUUGGACAAUGGGCGCAAGCCUGAUCCAGCCAUACCGCGUGGGUGAAGAAGGCCUUCGGGUUGUAAAGCCCUUUUGUUGGGAAAGAAAAGCAGCAGGUUAAUACCCCGCUGUUCUGACGGUACCCAAAGAAUAAGCACCGGCUAACUUCGU
Molecule: ribosomal RNA, 491 nt
Filed under: uncultured bacterium
Lineage: Bacteria
Description: partial 16S ribosomal RNA
Rfam family: Bacterial small subunit ribosomal RNA
Source: RNAcentral